This 401-nucleotide ribosomal RNA is filed under the name uncultured bacterium. RNAcentral's name for it is "bacterial SSU rRNA". It matches the Rfam family "Bacterial small subunit ribosomal RNA", at positions 362 to 758 of the family's 1533-position model. The record is from RNAcentral.
UUGUUCGCAAUGGGCGCAAGCCUGACGACGCAACGCCGCGUGGAGGAUGAAGAUCUUCGGGUCGUAAACUCCUUUCGAUCAAGACGAACGGCCUCCGGGUGAAUAGCCUGGGGGAGUGACGGUACCGAGAGAAGAAGCCCCGGCUAACUCCGUGCCAGCAGCCGCGGUAAUACGGGGGGGGCAAGCGUUGUUCGGAAUUACUGGGCGUAAAGGGCUCGUAGGCUGCCAACUAAGUCAGACGUGAAAUCCCUCGGCUUAACCGGGGAACUGCGUCUGAUACUGGAUGGCUUGAGUUCGGGAGAGGGAUGCGGAAUUCCAGGUGUAGCGGUGAAUGCGUAGAUAUCUGGAGGAACACCGGUGGCGAAGGCGGCAUCCUGGACCGACACUACGCGAGAGCGAGC